RNAcentral lists this long non-coding RNA (2407 nucleotides) under Lactuca sativa (garden lettuce). Its description in RNAcentral is "long non-coding RNA (LSAT_LNC006331)". The record is from RNAcentral. Lineage: Eukaryota; Viridiplantae; Streptophyta; Magnoliopsida; Asterales; Asteraceae.
AAACCUCAUAUAAAAAUCAUAAGCACUGUAUCUCAAAAUAUUAUAACAAUUGUCAAGUAUAUCAAAGUAUACACAUCCCAGGCUGUACAAAUGGUGUGUGCACUGCAAUCUUCCCGAGCUCCUCUUUUGAAAACUGAGUACCUGAAACCAAAACUGAAACUGUAGGCACAAAGCUUAGUGAGCUCCCCCAAACUACCACAUACCAUACAAUAACAUAGAAACACAUAUUGGGCCUUGCCCACUGCAUCGGACUGAAGUCCGGGAACUGCAUCAGACCGAAGUCCGAAACUAAUUGGGACCCCGUCCCCUGCAUCAGACCGAAGUCCGGAACUAGCUGCAUCGGUCCGAGUCCGGAACUGACUGGGACCCCGUCCCCUGCAACGGACCGAAGUCCGGAACUGACUAGGACCCCAUCCCCUACAUCAGACCAAAGUCCGGAAACUGACUGAACAUAGCAUAUCGUAACAUAUCAACCAUCAUGAAUACAUAUAGUGCAUACUGCAUCGGAACAGAGUCCGGAACACAUAACACAACACAUGCAUAAAUCACAAAGACAUCAAGCACUCUAACUAAUGCAUCAAACCGAGGUCCGAAACUAGCUGAACAUAACAUAACAUAAUCAUAGCAUAUAAUAUAAACACAUAUACUGCAUACUGCAUCGAACCAUAGUCUGGAACACAUAACUCAUAUGUAUCACAAAGACACCAAACAUAAUAAACUACUGCAUCAGACUGUAGUCCGGAACUACUGCUAACUAAACGGGUCGGCAUUGUGGCCGUAGACCCGUUCCUACUGGAAGGAAACUCACCUCGCCCUGCUGAAGUCCCGCAGACUCAAUCCCACACUGCUGAAGUCCCGCAGACUCGGCCCCAGCUGCUAAAUGACAGAUUCCCGAUCUGUCAACAUCAAAAUAACACCCAAUUAAUAAUUGAGCUCUAACACAUACACCCAUAAGUCCAUGCUUGGGGUAAAAGACUGCUUUACCCCAUUCAAGCUCAAGGCCCAAAAGUCUAAUAAUGAACCAAGCCCCAACUAUGGCCCAAUUUUCCCCAAUUGGGCCCAAGUCUCUAUAUGGUGUUGCCUUAAGACCCAACCACUUAUUCUUGGUCCAGUAUCUCAUAAUCAUCAAGGCUUAUAUAUGGUCAAACUCAAGGUCCAAACAACAAUUAGGGUUUCUUAUAGGAAUGAUGAUUAGGGUUAAGUAUUCCUACGUAACCCGUUAAAGACUUAAUCGACUAAGUCCAUCACUCCACUAGGUCAAACAUACGGUGUGGUCGGGCGUAAUUCAUAAUUCAAUUCCAAUGAUCCGAAAAUGCGAGUCCCAACAAUUCCAAAACUAGCAUAUCCAUAUAAUGAUAAAUAAAGUUAUGAUUCGAUAAUCCAAAUUAUAGAUCGCACUACAAAUGGUCAUUUUAAAUANNNNNNNNNNNNNNNNNNNNNNNNNNNNNNNNNNNNNNNNNNNNNNNNNNNNNNNNNNNNNNNNNNNNNNNNNNNNNNNNNNNNNUAUAUUCCAUGAAUAAUAUUCAUUUCAUUAAUCACCGGGGAUAGCAUCGACUCUUGAAUUUAAAGUACUCUAAUAAUUAGAUAAUACCUCAUUUGCUAGUUAUGCCCCUUCAUAGGACAAUCAUUUUAACCCAAUAGCCCAACUUCGCAUAACCCAAAACAUGCCACCAGCCCAUUACAUAACUUGAUACAUACCAGCUCAUUAAAAGCCCAACAAGAGUCCAAUCUUACAUGUUAUCCAGAUGGCACACUAGAGCAUCCAUCAGUGGUUGCCGAAUCCUCCUUCAUCAGAAACGCAAGCCCCAUAACCAAAUUAAGAAUCACGCGGACCUACACCCUGACUGUUAUCGAUUCCUCUCCUUCUUUAUGGCCAUCGAAGACUAGCAACUCGCCUUCUCCCUUACGGAUGUUGCUGGAGGUCUCAAGACAGUCGCUGGAAAAUCGGUAGGCCAAGAAAACGGGAUUAGAACCCAUUAAUCAAUUUCUAUCUAACCGAAGUCACCAAUGCAAGAUAAGAAAUCGGAGGAUGAAUUGAGUCUUACCUACCUUCCCUGCUCUGUAGAACAUACGAAAUUCGCCGGAGGCCCACACAGUGUCGGAGAACGACGCAACCAUCGGGAACGCCUCCCUACCUGGUUCAAGGUGUCGAGCAGAUUUGGAGCUGAAGGAAUGACCCCAUUCUCGCUAAAAUAUCCCCACCUCCUUGUCUCAAAUAAUGCUCCAGUGAGAGUUCCAACUGGCGAAGAAACCCAACGAUGGCAGCUCCUUCCUCACGGUUCUUCUUCUUUCAUAACAUUCCUUCACAACUUCGAUGUCUCUCACCCUCUCUCGCCGCCAAUGAACAUACAUAUUUUUCAUUCCAUCUAAGGGUUUAUUCCUUAUAUACCCUGAUGAUGCAGAUAAA